GUUCUUGUAGUUGAAAUACAACGGUGAUUUUUCAUGUCUCUAGUCGUGGUUUAUACCCAUGUAGGAACU
This 69-nucleotide transfer RNA is filed under the name Dendrohyrax dorsalis (Western tree hyrax). RNAcentral describes it as "tRNA-Glu". The record is from RNAcentral. Lineage: Eukaryota; Metazoa; Chordata; Mammalia; Hyracoidea; Procaviidae.